RNAcentral lists this ribosomal RNA (3024 nucleotides) under Drosophila melanogaster (fruit fly). RNAcentral describes it as "eukaryotic LSU rRNA". The stretch from base 1854 to 2872 matches the Rfam family "Eukaryotic large subunit ribosomal RNA", at positions 1891 to 3399 of the family's 3401-position model. The record is from RNAcentral. Lineage: Eukaryota; Metazoa; Arthropoda; Insecta; Diptera; Drosophilidae.
AAUUUAUAAUUUUGAGAUAGAUUCCUAUCACAUAAUGACGGAAGCCACAUUAAAUCAAUGUCAGAAAUGGCAACUAAAUAAGAGAAUAUGCAAAGGAAGUUGGCCCUGGAAUUCAGCGAAUGAUAAUGCAUGUGAGAUUCAGCCUCUAAAGCCAGAUAAAGCGGCGAACUGCAUCUAUAAAACAGUAGUCGACUCUAAAAGUUACUGGGUAGAGUUAGAAAAGAAAAGUAGUUGGUUGUUUAAGGUUCCUGCGAAUUCAAAAGUCCGUCUGCAAUGUACUGGCUCUCAAAUUGAAUUGUUUGAUUUGCCUCAGCAAGGAGUUUUAAGCAUUGCGCCAUAUUGUACGGCAAGAACCGACGAUAAAAUUCUAGUUGCCCACCAUAACAUUCAGUCCGAAAGUGAAGAAUUAUUAUCAACACCUUAUAUAGGAGAAGUUAGUGAAGCGCCGAAGAUUAUUUGGGAUCCGCUGAAACUAUCAAUAUUAAAUCAUACUGAGGAAUUUGAACGAUUGAAUAAUGAAAUUAAAUUUAUGAAAGAGAACCAUCAAAAAUUGAAAGAUUUACAUUUCCAUCAUAUUUCCGGACAUGCUGGAUUAAUUAUUGCUUUAAUACUAAUGAUAGUAUUAAUAAUAUAUUUCAUACGGAAAUGUGCUGUGCAACAAAGAAUGCAAGCAAUAACCUUUGCAGGUCCGUUGCCAGUACUAUAAAUAUCAAUAGUAAAUAAACAAUAAAAUAAUAUAACAAAUAAAAAUAUACAGUCCACUAUAUCGUUGUUUAAUAGAAAAUGUACUUCUACAUAGAAAAAGCAAAAUGUUUAAAAUAAGUUAAUUGAGUACAAAUUGUUGAAUUAAAAAUAAUAUAAACCAUAAUUGUAAUCCAAUAAAAUUAAAAGCCAGAAAAACUAGGCCCAUUGAAAUCUUAGUUGCAAAAUAAAUGAACAUAUAUCAAAUAAAUACAGUCCACUACUGUUAUAAAUGCAACUAAUAUACUAAUGUACAUCUCAGCUUGCUGGCCCUUUGGCAGAAUGUUCACACAUGAACACGAAUAUAUUUAAAGACUUACAAUUUUGGGCUCCGUUCAUAUCUUAUGUAAAUGAAUCGAGAGCGAUAAAUUAUAUUUAGGAUUUUGUUAUCUAAGGCGACAUGGGUGCAUUGCUCAAAAACAUGUAAUUUAAGUGCACACUACAUGAGUCAGUCACUUGAGAUCGUUCCCCGCCUCCUAAAAUAGUCCCUUAGUGGGAGACCACAGAUAAGGUCCUCGCCGCUCAAGAUAGGCAGAUGUGCCCGAGCGUGGGACCUCGAUAAGGCGGGGACUAUUUACUUAGGCCUCUGCGUAGGCCAUUUACUUUAAGAUGCGAUUCUCAUGUCACCUAUUUAAACCGAAGAUAUUUCCAAAUAAAAUCAGUUUCUUACAAAAACUCAACGAGUAAAGUCUUCUUAUUUGGGAUUUUACACCCACCGAGCCUCUUUUCGGUACCACGGGUUGAGCAGCUAUCCAAGACUGCUCAUUGAGGUAGGCCCCCUGGUGGGAGUAUCGUGGUGGCUGUGGUUGGUACCCAUAUCGCGGGUAGAGCCUUCAUGCUCGACGUUUGAGUUACGGUGCUAGUUGCGCAAAACUCGGGUGCUGUGACCCAGAGAUCAGUAGAGAUUUUAGGUAGAUCUCGCUCCUCAGCAAGGGGGAGUGCUUGCCCGGCAAGCAAGUACUCGAAUUGCUACCGGGGUGGUCGCUAUGUACAUAGCUAUAGCUUCUAGUCCGGGACGCUUGUCUGGCGUAUCCAGACACAUGCACCAUAUGCUCACUUGUGGGCGUAUAGGGUGCCGUGGUUGUAAUCCCUUCAGUGUGGAACACGCCACGUAAAAUAAGUUCGGAGGGAUCCGAAAAGCAUACAUUGUCCCUAUCUACUAUCUAGCGAAACCACAGCCAAGGGAACGGGCUUGGAAUAAUUAGCGGGGAAAGAAGACCCUUUUGAGCUUGACUCUAAUCUGGCAGUGUAAGGAGACAUAAGAGGUGUAGAAUAAGUGGGAGAUAUUAGACCUCGGUUUGGUAUCGUCAAUGAAAUACCACUACUCUUAUUGUUUCCUUACUUACUUGAUUAAAUGGAACGUGUAUCAUUUCCUAGCCAUUAUACGGAUAUAUUUAUUAUAUCUUAUGGUAUUGGGUUUUGAUGCAAGCUUCUUGAUCAAAGUAUCACGAGUUUGUUAUAUAAUCGCAAACAAAUUCUUUAAUAAAACGAUGCAUUUAUGUAUUUUUGAUUUGAAAAUUUGGUAUAACUCCAAUUACUCAGGUAUGAUCCAAUUCAAGGACAUUGCCAGGUAGGGAGUUUGACUGGGGCGGUACAUCUCUCAAAUAAUAACGGAGGUGUCCCAAGGCCAGCUCAGUGCGGACAGAAACCACACAUAGAGCAAAAGGGCAAAUGCUGACUUGAUCUCGGUGUUCAGUACACACAGGGACAGCAAAAGCUCGGCCUAUCGAUCCUUUUGGUUUAAAGAGUUUUUAACAAGAGGUGUCAGAAAAGUUACCAUAGGGAUAACUGGCUUGUGGCGGCCAAGCGUUCAUAGCGACGUCGCUUUUUGAUCCUUCGAUGUCGGCUCUUCCUAUCAUUGUGAAGCAAAAUUCACCAAGCGUUGGAUUGUUCACCCAUGCAAGGGAACGUGAGCUGGGUUUAGACCGUCGUGAGACAGGUUAGUUUUACCCUACUAAUGACAAAACGUUGUUGCGACAGCAUUCCUGCGUAGUACGAGAGGAACCGCAGGUACGGACCAAUGGCACAAUACUUGUUCGAGCGAACAGUGGUAUGACGCUACGUCCGUUGGAUUAUGCCUGAACGCCUCUAAGGUCGUAUCCGUGCUGGACUGCAAUGAUAAAUAAGGGGCAAUUUGCAUUGUAUGGCUUCUAAACCAUUUAAAGUUUAUAAUUUACUUUAUAAACGACAAUGGAUGUGAUGCCAAUGUAAUUUGUAACAUAGUAAAUUGGGAGGAUCUUCGAUCACCUGAUGCCGCGCUAGUUACAUAUAAAAGCAUUAUUU